This 249-nucleotide long non-coding RNA is filed under the name Musa acuminata (dwarf banana). RNAcentral describes it as "long non-coding RNA (MACU_LNC001376)". The record is from RNAcentral. Lineage: Eukaryota; Viridiplantae; Streptophyta; Magnoliopsida; Zingiberales; Musaceae.
GGGAAAGGGAGCGGAAGGCGCGAGCAGCGGGAGGCCUCGAGGGAGGCGCGAGCAGCGGGAAGGCUCGCGGGAGGGCUCGCAGGAGGCGAGAGGGCUCGCGGGAGGCGCGAGCAGCGGGAGGGCUCGCAGGAGGCGCGAGCAGCGAGAGGGCUCGCGGGAGGCGCGAGCAGCGGGAAGGCUCGCGGGAGGCGCGAGCAGCGACAGCGGCAGCGGGAGCAGCGGCAGCGAGCGACGAGAUCGCGAUCGGGA